CAGAGAAUAGUUUAUUUUAAAAUAUUAAUUUUGGAGAUUAAAGAUAAGAGAUUUUCUUUUCUCUGA
RNAcentral lists this transfer RNA (66 nucleotides) under Berosus affinis. RNAcentral's name for it is "tRNA-Pro". Lineage: Eukaryota; Metazoa; Arthropoda; Insecta; Coleoptera; Hydrophilidae. The record is from RNAcentral.